AUUGAACGCUGGCGGCAUGCCUUACACAUGCAAGUCGAACGGCAGCACGGGAGCAAUCCUGGUGGCGAGUGGCGAACGGGUGAGUAAUAUAUCGGAACGUGCCCAGUAGUGGGGGAGUAGCCCGGCGAAAGCCGGAUUAAUACCGCAUACGACCUGUGGGUGGAAAGCGGGGGAGUCGCAAGACCUCGCGCUAUUGGAGCGGCCGAUAUCAGAUUAGCUAGUUGGUGGGGUAAAAGCCCACCAAGGCGACGAUCUGUAGCUGGUCUGAGAGGACGACCAGCCACACUGGGACUGAGACAUGGCCCAGACUCCUACGGGAGGCAGCAGUGGGGGAAUUUUGGACAAUGGGCGCAAGCCUGAUCCAGCCAUGCCGCGUGUGGGAAGAAGGCCUCGGUUGUAA
This 400-nucleotide ribosomal RNA is filed under the name uncultured bacterium. RNAcentral's name for it is "bacterial SSU rRNA". It matches the Rfam family "Bacterial small subunit ribosomal RNA", at positions 29 to 428 of the family's 1533-position model. The record is from RNAcentral.